UAAUGUUUGUGAAUGGAUAUGACGAAAUGGCAAUAAUGUUUUGUGACACCCAGUCUGAUCUUCGUGAUUGAUCUGCCAUAUUUUCUGAUCCUAAUUCUUCUUCAGUUUUGUGGAUUUUGAUUCAAAGUUUUGAUUU
Molecule: small RNA, 136 nt
Filed under: Arabidopsis thaliana (thale cress)
Lineage: Eukaryota; Viridiplantae; Streptophyta; Magnoliopsida; Brassicales; Brassicaceae
Description: ATSL021380
Rfam family: Small nucleolar RNA snoR4a (bases 15-91)
Source: RNAcentral